This 483-nucleotide ribosomal RNA is filed under the name uncultured bacterium. Its description in RNAcentral is "partial 16S ribosomal RNA". It matches the Rfam family "Bacterial small subunit ribosomal RNA", at positions 30 to 507 of the family's 1533-position model. The record is from RNAcentral.
UUGAACGCUGGCGGCAUGCCUUACACCUGCAAGUCGAACGGCAGCGCGGACUUCGGUCUGGCGGCGAGUGGCGAACGGGUGAGUAAUACAUCGGAACGUACCCUGUUGUGGGGGAUAACUAGUCGAAAGAUUAGCUAAUACCGCAUACGACCUGAGGGUGAAAGUGGGGGACCGCAAGGCCUCACGCAGCAGGAGCGGCCGAUGUCUGAUUAGCUAGUUGGUGGGGUAAAGGCCCACCAAGGCGACGAUCAGUAGCUGGUCUGAGAGGACGAUCAGCCACACUGGGACUGAGACACGGCCCAGACUCCUACGGGAGGCAGCAGUGGGGAAUUUUGGACAAUGGGGGCAACCCUGAUCCAGCAAUGCCGCGUGUGUGAAGAAGGCCUUCGGGUUGUAAAGCACUUUUGUCCGGAAAGAAAUCGCGCUGGUUAAUACCUGGCGUGGAUGACGGUACCGGAAGAAUAAGCACCGGCUAACUACGUG